UGCAGUCGAACGAAGUAGCAAUACUUAGUGGCAGACGGGUGAGUAACAUGUAGGUAUCUGCCCUUUGGCCUGGAAUAACACGAGGAAACUUGUGCUAAUACCGGAUAAGUCUUUACGGAGAAAGCUUUAUGCACCAUUGGAUGAGCCUGCACUUGAUUAGUUUGUUGGUGGGGUAAUGGCCUACCAAGACUGUGAUCAAUAGCUGAUUUGAGAGGAUGAUCAGCCACAUUGGGACUGAGACACGGCCCAAACUCCUACGGGAGGCAGCAGUGGGGAAUCUUGCACAAUGGAGGAAACUCUGAUGCAGCGAUGCCGCGUGAGUGAAGAAGGCCCUUGGGUUGUAAAGCUCUUUCGUCGGGGAAGAAAAUGACUGUACCCGAAUAAGAAGGUCCGGCUAACUUCGUGCCAGCAGCCGCGGUAAUACGAAGGGACCUAGCGUAGUUCGGAAUUACUGGGCUUAAAGAGUUCGUAGGUGGUUGAAAAAGUUAGUGGUGAAAUCCCAGAGCUUAACUCUGGAACUGCCAUUAAAACUUUUCAGCUAGAGUAUGAUAGAGGAAAGCAGAAUUUCUAGUGUAGAGGUGAAAUUCGUAGAUAUUAGAAAGAAUACCAAUUGCGAAGGCAGCUUUCUGGAUCAUUACUGACACUGAGGAACGAAAGCAUGGGUAGCGAAGAGGAUUAGAUACCCUCGUAGUCCAUGCCGUAAACGAUGUGUGUUAGACGUUGGAAAUUUAUUUUCAGUGUCGCAGGGAAACCGAUAAACACACCGCCUGGGGAGUACGACCGCAAGGUUAAAACU
Molecule: ribosomal RNA, 796 nt
Filed under: uncultured marine bacterium
Lineage: Bacteria
Description: bacterial SSU rRNA
Rfam family: Bacterial small subunit ribosomal RNA
Source: RNAcentral